UGCAUUCAAUAUGUGCAUUAAUGUUUGCAUUCAUUCAUUUCAUCUGCUGUGCUGGCUGUGUGUUCUCUGAUUGGGGGUGGGUGAUACUUGAGGUAAAAGGCCCAAUACCCAGGCUAUGAGUGCAAUCUAGGAAACCUAAUUAAUGUUUGCAUUCAUUCAUUUCAUCUGCUGUGCUGGCUGUGUGUUCUCUGAUUGGGGGUGGGUGAUACUUGAGGUAAAAGGCCCAAUACCCAGGCUAUGAGUGCAAUCUAGGAAACCUAGGAAUAGAGUGAGUCAUGGGAAGCGGGUGGUAUGCGCCACUUAGCGGAACAUUGACGUCACGAGCAGUUUAGACCCUGGUGGGGUAUCAUCGUUGCAUACUUCAGGUGUGUGUAUGAUGGUAUUCCACGAAAGGUUAUUUAUGCUGCGUUUCUUUCGACCUUACCCUGGCCUAUAUGACACCCGUGAGUGGGGAGGGAAUGAUCAUUUUAACAGGUACAGAUGGUGACUGUUGGUGACCGGUUGGUGACUGUUGGUGAUUCAGUAUGUUCCUGUUGGUGACUCAGUUUCUCAGAUU
This 556-nucleotide long non-coding RNA is filed under the name Lathyrus oleraceus (garden pea). Its description in RNAcentral is "Pisum sativum (pea) long non-coding RNA (PSAT_LNC009247)". The record is from RNAcentral. Lineage: Eukaryota; Viridiplantae; Streptophyta; Magnoliopsida; Fabales; Fabaceae.